CAGCCUACGGGGGGCAGCAGUGGGGAAUAUUGGGCAAUGGGCGCAAGCCUGACCCAGCAACGCCGCGUGAAGGAAGAAGGCUUUCGGGUUGUAAACUUCUUUUGUCAGGGACGAAGCAAGUGACGGUACCUGACGAAUAAGCCACGGCUAACUACGUGCCACCAGCCGCGGUAAUACGUAGGUGGCAAGCGUUAUCCGGACUUACUGGGUGUAAAGGGCGUGUAGGCGGGGGAGCAAGGCCGAUGUGAAAACCAAGGGCUCAACCUGUGGCCUGCAUUUGUAACUGUUUUUCUUGAGUACUGGAG
This 305-nucleotide ribosomal RNA is filed under the name uncultured bacterium. RNAcentral describes it as "bacterial SSU rRNA". It matches the Rfam family "Bacterial small subunit ribosomal RNA", at positions 332 to 654 of the family's 1533-position model. The record is from RNAcentral.